Molecule: transfer RNA, 73 nt
Filed under: Tuber melanosporum (Perigord truffle)
Lineage: Eukaryota; Fungi; Ascomycota; Pezizomycetes; Pezizales; Tuberaceae
Also listed under: 5 other names
Description: tRNA-Phe (GAA) (tRNA-Phe-GAA-3-1)
Rfam family: tRNA
About the family: Transfer RNA (tRNA) molecules are approximately 80 nucleotides in length. Their secondary structure includes four short double-helical elements and three loops (D, anti-codon, and T loops).
Source: RNAcentral
GCUCGAGAAGCUUAAUUGGUUGAGCAGAGUAUUGAAGCUACUAAGGUUAUAAGUUCAAAUCUUAUCUCGGGCA